Molecule: ribosomal RNA, 484 nt
Filed under: uncultured bacterium
Lineage: Bacteria
Description: partial 16S ribosomal RNA
Rfam family: Bacterial small subunit ribosomal RNA
Source: RNAcentral
AUUGAACGCUGGCGGCAUGCUUUACACAUGCGAGUCGAACGGCAGCGCGGGCUUCGGCCUGGCGGCGAGUGGCGAACGGGUGAGUAAUGCAUCGGAACGUGCCCAGUAGUGGGGGAUAGCCCGGCGAAAGCCGGAUUAAUACCGCAUACGACCUGAGGGUGAAAGCGGGGGACCGAAAGGCCUCGCGCUAUUGGAGCGGCCGAUGUCGGAUUAGCUAGUUGGUGGGGUAAAGGCUUACCAAGGCGACGAUCCGUAGCUGGUCUGAGAGGACGACCAGCCACAAUGGGAAUGAGAAGCGGGCCGGACUCACACGGGAGGCAGCAGUAGGGGAGCGUGCAGAAGGGGUGAACGCCUGACCGAGCAAUGACGCGGGAAGGAAGAAGGUCGUCGGAUCGUAAACCGCUGGUAUUAGAGAAGAACAAAAACGUACGUAAAUCUCCCGGUCAUGACGGUACCUAAUAAGAAAGCCACGGCUAACUACGUG